Long non-coding RNA from Syngnathus acus (greater pipefish), 611 nucleotides. RefSeq lists it as uncharacterized. The transcript is spliced from 2 exons. The record is from RefSeq and is a predicted model, not a curated record. NCBI's taxonomy places the organism in Eukaryota, Metazoa, Chordata, Actinopteri, Syngnathiformes, Syngnathidae.
CUUCAUGCAAGUUAUCUUACAUCUACUUAACGUUUGUUGGAGUGUAUACACGAGAGGUAUCUGAUUAUUUACUCAUUAUUAUUAUUGUGUGAAACGUAGCAAGAAAGUCUAGAGCAUUGUUUUACAGGGACGCGGCAUCCAGGAGUUGGAUAUCAACACCGUGCUGUCACAGUCAGUGAUGCCGACCCUUCCCGCCGUGGACUUGCAGACGGUGCCUGUGAUCAGCUUUUCUGGACAAAUUUCAAUGUGACUGUUAAAGGACAAACAUUGCCGCAAGUGGCCUACACAGAGAGACCAGCUGGAGUGAAUUACACACGUUACAUCCAAGGUAACGAGACCCACAAAUGCAUUAACGACGACUGCUCUCCAGGAGGAAACUGGAUGGGAGCUUUGGACAUCACCGCUGUGUGCCUGGAUGGGAGAGCCAUUUCAAGGCGUAAGGGCUCUACUACCAACAUGGCUGCACCAUCGGACGGGACCUACUUCAUUCAGAACGGAUCAUGGCUUUGUGGUCACAAGAGUUGUCCGAUGCUGCCUGCCAACUGAACACGAGUGUGUGCACGAGUGUGGGUGACCGACCACACCUACAGGGUUCAAUAUCAUCAGCUGAC